AAUAUGUUUGUUAUUGGUUACAAACAAAAACAAAUGAAUAAUAGUGUGGUAACGGGAUUACUGUGUUCAGUCAUGCCCGAUUUGAAUUCAAAAAACGUUACCGAAGAUCUGCAGUUUUUGUACAUUUUAAUACAUGGCUAUACCUGGCCAAUGAGAUGAAGUUGUACCACUUCCAUCAGUCCCGACAUUUGUCAAAGAAGUGCAGUUUGUAAAUGACCAAGUGGAUGAAGCACCCACACUCUCACCGGUCCAGAUAUUCCUCAAAGAAGAGGAAGGUGCGUAUUGUAAGGCAGAAGAGCCUGUGCUGGUCUCACUUGUCCCAGUGCUUCUCAAAGAAGAACAUGUG
Long non-coding RNA from Schistocerca serialis cubense, 346 nucleotides. RefSeq lists it as uncharacterized. The record is from RefSeq and is a predicted model, not a curated record. The transcript has 4 exons. NCBI's taxonomy places the organism in Eukaryota, Metazoa, Arthropoda, Insecta, Orthoptera, Acrididae.